UACGUAGGGUGCAGGCGUUAAUCGGAAUUACUGGGCGUAAAGCGUGCGCAGGCGGCGAUGUAAGACAGAUGUGAAAUCCCCGGGCUCAACCUGGGAACUGCAUUUGUGACUGCAUCGCUGGAGUACGGCAGAGGGGGAUGGAAUUCCGCGUGUAGCAGUGAAAUGCGUAGAUAUGCGGAGGAACACCGAUGGCGAAGGCAAUCCCCUGGGCCUGUACUGACGCUCAUGCACGAAAGCGUGGGGAGCAAACAGG
RNAcentral lists this ribosomal RNA (253 nucleotides) under uncultured bacterium. RNAcentral's name for it is "partial 16S ribosomal RNA". It matches the Rfam family "Bacterial small subunit ribosomal RNA", at positions 524 to 776 of the family's 1533-position model. The record is from RNAcentral.